ACGGGAGGCAGCAGUAGGGAAUAUUGCACAAUGGGGGGAAACCCUGAUGCAGCAACGCCAAGUGUGGGAAGAAGCAUUUCGGUGUGUAAACCACUGUCGUGAGGGAAUAACGCUUGAUUUCGGUCAAGUUGAAUGUACCUCGAAAGGAAGCACCGGCAAACUUCGUGCCAGCAGCCGCGGUAAUACGAGGGGUGCAAGCGUUGUUCGGAAUCACUGGGCGUAAAGGGAGCGCAGGCGGAGAUGCAAGCGGACUGUACAAUCCCGGGGCCCACCCCCGGACCUGCAGUCCGGACUGCUCCUCUUGGAUAGUUCAGGGGCAAGCGGAAUUCCUGGUGUAGCGGUGGAAUGCGUAGAGAUCAGGAAGAACACCGAUGGCGAAGGCAGCUUGCUGGGGACUUAUCGACGCUCAUGCUCGAAAGUGCGGGUAGCAAACAGGAUUAGAUCCCCUGGUA
RNAcentral lists this ribosomal RNA (452 nucleotides) under uncultured Fibrobacter sp. RNAcentral describes it as "partial 16S ribosomal RNA". It matches the Rfam family "Bacterial small subunit ribosomal RNA", at positions 341 to 792 of the family's 1533-position model. The record is from RNAcentral. Lineage: Bacteria; Pseudomonadati; Fibrobacterota; Fibrobacteria; Fibrobacterales; Fibrobacteraceae.